Molecule: small RNA, 712 nt
Filed under: Pongo abelii (Sumatran orangutan)
Lineage: Eukaryota; Metazoa; Chordata; Mammalia; Primates; Hominidae
Description: processed transcript
Source: RNAcentral
AGAUGUGACUCACCUGCCUGUGACUUUAUGCAGGUUAUUUAACUUAGCAGUGUCCUUCCCUAGAAAAUGAUGCCUAUAAUUCCUACCUUCACUACAUGAGAUGAAGUACAUGAAAGGGCCAGGGCAUGUUUCUGAUAGCUAAAUUUCAUCACAAGAAGGAAAAUACAUCUGCAAAAGCAUUCCAUCACAUGAUAGAAGGAUGAAAGACAGCAAGAAGCGAGUAUUUUCCGGCAUUCAACCUACAGGAAUCCUCCACCUGGGCAAUUACCUGGGAGCCAUUGAGAGCUGGGUGAGGUUACAGGAUGAAUAUGACUCUGUAUUAUACAGCAUUGUUGACCUCCACUCCAUUACUGUCCCCCAAGACCCAGCUGUCCUUCGGCAGAGCAUCCUGGACAUGACUGCUGUUCUUCUUGCCUGCGGCAUAAACCCAGAAAAAAGCAUCCUUUUCCAACAAUCUCAGGUGUCUGAACACACACAAUUAAGUUGGAUCCUUUCCUGCAUGGUCAGACUACCUCGAUUACAACAUUUGCAUCAGUGGAAGGCAAAGACUACCAAGCAGAAGCACGAUGGCACGGUGGGCCUGCUCACGUACCCAGUACUCCAGGCGGCCGACAUUCUGUUGUACAAGUCCACACACGUUCCUGUUGGGGAGGAUCAAAUCCAGCACAUGGAACUAGUUCAGGAUCUAGCACAAAGUUUCAACAAGAAGUAU